This 743-nucleotide ribosomal RNA is filed under the name uncultured bacterium. RNAcentral describes it as "bacterial SSU rRNA". It matches the Rfam family "Bacterial small subunit ribosomal RNA", at positions 411 to 1167 of the family's 1533-position model. The record is from RNAcentral.
AAGGCCUUCGGGUUGUAAACCUCUUUCAGCAGGGUAAUAAGCGAAAGUGAAGGUACCUGCAGAAGAAGCACCGGCUAACUAUGUGCCAGCAGCCGCGGUAAUACAUAGGGUGCAAGCGUUGUCCGGAAUUAUUGGGCGUAAAGAGCUCGUAGGUGGUCGAUCACGUCGGAUGUGAAAUUCUGAGGCUUAACCUCGGACCUGCAUUCGAUACGGGUUGACUAGAGUGUGGUAGGGGAGACUGGAAUUCCUGGUGUAGCGGUGGAAUGCGCAGAUAUCAGGAGGAACACCGAUGGCGAAGGCAGGUCUCUGGGCCAUUACUGACACUGAGGAGCGAAAGCGUGGGGAGCGAACAGGAUUAGAUACCCUGGUAGUCCACGCCGUAAACGGUGGGCGCUAGUUGUGGGAACCUUCCACGGUUUCUGCGACGCAGCUAACGCAUUAAGCGCCCCGCCUGGGGAGUACGGUCGCAAGACUAAAACUCAAAGAAAUUGACGGGGCCCCGCACAAGCAGCGGAGCAUGCGGCUUAAUUCGACGCAACGCGAAGAACCUUACCAAGGCUUGACAUAUACAGGAAUACGGCAGAGAUGUCGUAGCCGCAAGGUCUGUAUACAGGUGGUGCAUGGUUGUCGUCAGCUCGUGUCGUGAGAUGUUGGGUUAAGUCCCGCAACGAGCGCAACCCUCGUCCUGUGUUACCAGCAUUUAGUUGGGGGACUCACAGGAGACUGCCGGGGGUCAACUCGGG